AGCGAACGCUGGCGGCAUGCUUAACACAUGCAGUCGCACGGGUGGUUUCGGCCAUCAGUGGCGGACGGGUGAGUAACGCGUAGGUAUCUAUCCUGGGGUGGGGGAUAACUGCGGGAAACUGCAGCUAAUACCGCAUGACACCUGUGGGUCAAAGGCGCGAGUCGCCUUGGGAGGAGCCUGCGUCCGAUUAGCUAGUUGGUGGGGUAAAGGCCUACCAAGGCGACGAUCGGUAGCUGGUCUGAGAGGAUGAUCAGCCACACUGGGACUGAGACACGGCCCAGACUCCUACGGGAGGCAGCAGUGGGGAAUAUUGGACAAUGGGGGCAACCCUGAUCCAGCAAUGCCGCGUGGGUGAAGAAGGUCUUCGGAUUGUAAAGCCCUUUCGGCGGGGACGAUGAUGACGGUACCCGCAGAAGAAGCCCCGGCUAACUUCGUGCCAGCCGCCGCCGUAAAAC
RNAcentral lists this ribosomal RNA (455 nucleotides) under uncultured bacterium. Its description in RNAcentral is "bacterial SSU rRNA". It matches the Rfam family "Bacterial small subunit ribosomal RNA", at positions 28 to 526 of the family's 1533-position model. The record is from RNAcentral.